AGGCAGGGAGUCUCUGGAUCGGUUGGUCGCUACGGGGUAUCGACGACGACCCCGUCAGUCGUCAAGAAGCAGCGGCGCCGUGAGCAUGUCGCUCCCGUGUAGUUUGGAUCUGGCAACCGAGGUCCCCGUGGCCCGGAACCCUCGGCCUCCACCAGCACUGUUGUGGACCAGCAGACGACAUACAGGAGCAGCUCGCCAGCAACAUUCCCACUCAAAAUGCAGACGUCAAACAACAGCUCUGACCCACGGAGAGUGGAUAAGAUUGUUAGGUACAAACCAUCAGCACAAGGGACUCCAGGGGCCCCUGGUGAAGAUCCAACUACUGACUACAUGAAUGUACUAGGCAUGAUCUUCAGCAUGUGUGGUCUAAUGAUGAGAACACCAGUGCUCGCAAAUGCAUUGAUUUGGCAAGAAGGAUGCCAUAGCAGAGUGCAAGGCACAUAGGUGGCACCCAUUCCCGCACAGCACAAGUGAUGGACGUUGGAGGCAAGACAUAGAUCACACAUGAGGCGUACAG
Molecule: long non-coding RNA, 517 nt
Organism: Procambarus clarkii (red swamp crayfish)
Lineage: Eukaryota; Metazoa; Arthropoda; Malacostraca; Decapoda; Cambaridae
Source: RefSeq, a predicted model, not a curated record